UCCAAAUUGUUUCGUGGAAUAGACGAAAUUACCAUUUCAUUUUGCAAUUUCAAUCGUUUACAUUUCUAUACAGAAAGCUAAUUGACCGGACACCAACAAGGCAAAAGGGGAGCCGCUGUCUCACGCCAUCCCUAUCUAUAUUAAGCCGACAGUAACAUUAGUCCACCCCACCUCUUCGUGUAUUUCAUUGAAAAGAAUAUCUGCAGCAAAAGUUCUUCUGGGCUCACCAAAAAUGACUCAAAUCAUGAAAUGCCUUGCAUCUUUUUCACUCUUCCUGUCAGCACUCAUAUUAUCCCUUUGCUCUCCAAUCUCAUCCGUUAGCCUUGAUGGAGCUGUGUCAAGUACAUCUUCUCUGGAAGUCCAACAAGGGAAUCAUCUUGCAGCAUAUGAAACUAGCAAAGUCUCAUUCUUUGCAAACCGGAAGUUAAUACAAGUUCAAAGCAAAAGAAGAGGGCGUUCUGUAAGACCACCGGUCGGUGCUGGUUCCAGAACAAGAUCAUCAUCUGCGAAUAGGAAACGAGCAUCUUCGUCCCAGUUGAAUGCUCUGCUGGUUUUCUCCAUUUCAUGCAUCUUCUUCUUCUUGGUUUAGUUAGUACUAGCUACUACCAUUGCAAUUGUUAUUUAUAGAACUAAGGAUAUUCGUGCAGCUAUACUUAAAAGGUGAAACGUUUCCUCUUUACAAUCCAUGGAAGGUUCAUCAUCCUAGAAAACUCUCUGCCUGUGUGCUCGUGGGAACUUGUUUGUAAAUUACAGAAUUCCUUUGCACAUAUCAUUUCAGUGGAUUGAAUUGCUAGGGAGUGAUUUGUGCUUUAUUUGCCAUUUCCAUAUAUGUCAAUUAAUUCAUUGAAGUGGAAUUGUUGCACAAGUUUUUUUCCCCUUUUUUUUAAUUAAAGAAAAUGACAUACUGAGCUGUUUUUCAGAAAGUAUAUAGCUUA
RNAcentral lists this long non-coding RNA (935 nucleotides) under Coffea arabica (coffee). Its description in RNAcentral is "long non-coding RNA (CARA_LNC004533)". Lineage: Eukaryota; Viridiplantae; Streptophyta; Magnoliopsida; Gentianales; Rubiaceae. The record is from RNAcentral.